UUUUGGGGCGGUGUUUACAGACUCUUCUUCUCUGCCUCCGCCCUGCUCUUGGCCCGAGAUUUGAGCCUCCUCUGUUUUCCAGCCAGACCCGGAAAAACGAAAAUACAGCUCAGGGAGCCCCCAACAGCCAGCGCUUGUGCCAGCUCACCUCUGGCCAUGGCACAGCUGCUGGUGCAUGCAGUGGGCCAAGGCUAACUCCACAUUCUUCCCGCCCUCUCUCUGCUUCACGGAGACUGGCAGGAGCCUGCAUGCAGAUGGAGGAAGGGUUCAACUCGACCGGCUGCCCAAGUAAACUGGGUCUCUUCUCACCAUAAUGCUACAACAAGAUUAUCUUGUCUGCUGAGGAGCUCUAAGCAG
Molecule: non-coding RNA, 357 nt
Organism: Sorex araneus (European shrew)
Lineage: Eukaryota; Metazoa; Chordata; Mammalia; Eulipotyphla; Soricidae
Source: Rfam